RNAcentral lists this transfer RNA (73 nucleotides) under Cimex lectularius (bed bug). RNAcentral describes it as "tRNA-Glu". It matches the Rfam family "tRNA". From Rfam's summary of the family: Transfer RNA (tRNA) molecules are approximately 80 nucleotides in length. Lineage: Eukaryota; Metazoa; Arthropoda; Insecta; Hemiptera; Cimicidae. The record is from Rfam by way of RNAcentral.
GGCACGAUAGCUCAAGUGGUAGAGCAGCGGCGUUUCGAGCCGAAGGUCGUGGGUUCGAAUCCCACUCGUAACA